This 250-nucleotide ribosomal RNA is filed under the name uncultured bacterium. Its description in RNAcentral is "partial 16S ribosomal RNA". It matches the Rfam family "Bacterial small subunit ribosomal RNA", at positions 333 to 597 of the family's 1533-position model. The record is from RNAcentral.
GGCUACCUACGGGGGGCAGCAGUGGGGAAUAUUGCACAAUGGGCGAAAGCCUGAUGCAGCAACGCCGCGUGAAGGAAGAAGGGUUUCGGCUCGUAAACUUCUAUCAACAGGGACGAAAGAGAUGACGGUACCUGAAUAAGAAGCCCCGGCUAACUACGUGCCAGCAGCCGCGGGAAUACGUAGGGGGCAAGCGUUAUCCGGAAUUACUGGGGGUAAAGGGGGAGUAGGCGGCAUGGUAAGGCAGAUGUGA